UAGCUCAGUGGUAGAGUGCUUGCCUUGCAUGCAUGAGGCCUUGGGUUUGAUUCCUCA
This 57-nucleotide transfer RNA is filed under the name Dipodomys ordii (Ord's kangaroo rat). It matches the Rfam family "tRNA", at positions 8 to 63 of the family's 71-position model. Rfam says of the family: Transfer RNA (tRNA) molecules are approximately 80 nucleotides in length. Their secondary structure includes four short double-helical elements and three loops (D, anti-codon, and T loops). The record is from Rfam by way of RNAcentral. Lineage: Eukaryota; Metazoa; Chordata; Mammalia; Rodentia; Heteromyidae.